GUGAAUGGUAAAUUAAAAAAAAAAAAAAGUCAAUUAUAAAAAUAUUAACAGGAUGUGCGUUGGGAUAGUACCAUUUUCACUGCUGCCUUACCGCUAACGUCUCUGCUCAACUCAGAUUCCCCUGCCAUAUCUGCUUUCAUCUCUGCACAACUCAGAUUCCUGUCUCUCGUCUUCUACUUCGACGCAGCCUCCAACAUCCCCAGCGACAAGAGGACGCUAUUUUAAAUUGGGGAAGUUCAUUUCCUUGGGCAAGUUCAUUGACCUGGUGGUGAACACGGAGAAGACGAUUUUCUCUGCUGCUGAAAUUUUGCAAUGGCUUUUCUGUUUAACAAAUUUCAAGAGCAGUGAAAGUUCUUGCAAAAAGUCCUACAUUUGCCAGAGAUCCAAGGCUUUGAAGCAGACAAAAAUCGCCUUUUCCUAUAUACCUGGUAACUGUCUAUUUGUUAUUGAAAUGAUCACUGGUUAUAAUUUGCCAUUUUUUUAAUGUAGAAUCUAUGUAGACAAUGGGAACUUCACUCAUAUUAUCGUUUACUAUUUGCUAGAACUUCAUUCACAUUAUCAUUUAGCAUUUGUAAUAACCAAGUAAACAUUACCAACUCAGUAGUCCUGUCACAUUUAAGAUGUGCUGCUUAAGUGUUAUUUUACUGUUUUCUCUUAUUCUAGGGUCUCGCAUCAUUUAUUUCUGCAGUAAUUUAUCUUCAUUGCACAUUUGGAUCAGACUCUACAUUGCACAUUUAAUGUUGAUGUUUCUCUUUACAAUCUGAUCUCAGCCUCCUACAUUGAUUUUACCACUUGCAACCAAGUACUGUACUAACCUUGAAAUCUCUUGUUUUAGUUUUAGGUAAAUCAUUCAUGAUUAGCUAAAGAAAAAUUUCCUAAAUAAGUAUCUGAUGAUGCCAAGAUAGGAACAUAUUCCUGUAGUGAUAAAAUCUAAUUGUCUCUGAUUUGAAAUAUCAAAGUUUUCCUGGAACACCAUGUGGAGUAUUAACAGUUUCUAAUUAAGUUAAACUAAGCUAAUAUAAUAUAUUUUUAUCCCUAGGACCCACCAUUUGUGUUUUUUAUAGUAAAAAAGAUCAUGUGAUUGUGGGCUUUGGUCUUGUUUGCUAGCUUAAAUGGUAAAAUCUGUUGGAACUUCACACAAGUCUCAACUCUUAAUGGUUCAAUGCUUUAUCAAUUUUAACCAAUUGUUUUAAGUUAAUCACUUCUGCUUUUGACUUUUCAAGUUGGUAACGAUUUUCGCCAAUAUUCAUGCAAAUUUACUAUUAUUUUUGCUAUUGCUGAUUCAAUUUAAAUAUUAGUUUUUAGUUGUUUUAAUUUUCCGGUUACCUUAGUAACAAAAUACCCUUCUUUGAAAGCAAAGGAUCAAAUGACAUAGUUUUAUUCUAUAACUUUGAAAGCAAAGGAUCAAAUGCAUAGUUUUAUUGUAUGGCAUAGAGAACUAAAUUAAUGGAGAGCAAAAGACAGGACAUAAAAAUGCUGAAAAUCAAUCUAUGAUCUAUCUCAGAUAUGUCAUUGACAGUGACAAGGAUACCUCAAGAGCUAGACAAUUCUCUAUUAAACAAAAUAAAAAUGGGACCUUGGUCGGAAAAAUAUUGAAUCUCCUUGAUCUUAACACAUGAAUUGCAGAAAUCAAUGAUACAGAAAAAAAAAAUGAUUAGAAACACACAAUUAAUCAAGAAUCGAGUGAACAGCCAAUAAUUGAAGGCAAAUAGCCCAACUAAAGCGAACCCAUUUGGUUGUUUAACCAGUAUAACAUCUAAUGAUGGGGAUUUAAACUAAUGAAUGUUAAGAAAUAUUUCAAAACUCAGAUGUGAUUUUGGGUUUUUCUGUGAUGAGAAUGUAUAUUAGCAAUUCCAGAUUCAAGGAAUUUGGUAUCAUCAACCAGUGAGUAUGAGAUAUAGAGAGAGAAAGCAUACCAACUUCAGACUCGAGAGCAGUGGAUAUGGGAACUGAGCAGUGAAUGAAAGAAACAAGAAGGAGUGAACUCAUGUUUAAGCUGCGCCUGGAAUGGAGUUUGAAGUGGCAAUCAAUAUCAAUGAUGGUGGUUUGGUGUUGAUAUUUGAUAGUGCUGUUCUUGGUCUUGUUGAUGGGUCAAGACAUUCCUGUUUUAAAUGGAGAGGAGGCAGGCUUUCCACCUGGGAACAACUCUGGGGAAGGCUUUAGUCCACUCUCCUUGUGAAGCGCGUGCAUUUUCUUAUUUGCAACGGUAAUAAAUGUAUUUAAUUAUAAUUUAAUAAAAAGCUUAACCCACAGGUUUGAUUUA
Molecule: long non-coding RNA, 2263 nt
Organism: Hevea brasiliensis (rubber tree)
Lineage: Eukaryota; Viridiplantae; Streptophyta; Magnoliopsida; Malpighiales; Euphorbiaceae
Exons: 2
Source: RefSeq, a predicted model, not a curated record